CCCCUAGAUGUUCUGGGCCGCACGCGCGCUACACUGAACAGUUCAACAAGUCUUAACCUUGGCCGAUAGGUCUGGGUAAUCUUUGAACGCUGUUCGUGAUUGGGAUAGACCUUUGCAAUUAUGGGUCUUCAACGAGGAAUUCCUAGUAAACGCAAGUCAUCAGCUUGCAUUGAUUACGUCCCUGCCCUUUGUACACACCGCCCGUCGCUCCUACUGAUUGGGUGAUCCGGUGAGCUGUUCGGCCAUAGCAAUGUUUCUUGAGCAGGGCAAUGAAUGUUUCGCAAACCUUGCCACUUAGAGGAAGGAGAAGUCGUAGCA
RNAcentral lists this ribosomal RNA (318 nucleotides) under uncultured eukaryote. Its description in RNAcentral is "partial 18S ribosomal RNA". It matches the Rfam family "Eukaryotic small subunit ribosomal RNA", at positions 1470 to 1796 of the family's 1831-position model. The record is from RNAcentral.